AGAGUUUGAUCAUGGCUCAGGAUGAACGCUAGCGGCAGGCUUAAUACAUGCAAGUCGAGGGGCAGCGUGAUUGUAGCAAUACAAUUGAUGGCGACCGGCAAACGGGUGCGGAACACGUACACAACCUUCCAACAAGUGGGGGAUAGCCCAGAGAAAUUUGGAUUAAUACCCCGUAACAUAGCGAUGUGGCAUCACAUUGCUAUUAUAGAUUUUUCGCUUGUUGAUGGGUGUGCGGCUGAUUAGAUAGUUGGCGGGGUAACGGCCCACCAAGUCUACGAUCAGUAGCUGAUGUGAGAGCAUGAUCAGCCACACGGGCACUGAGACACGGGCCCGACUCCUACGGGAGGCAGCAGUAAGGAAUAUUGGACAAUGGACGCAAGUCUGAUCCAGCCAUGCCGCGUGAAGGAUUAAGGUCCUCUGGAUUGUAAACUUCUUUUAUAAGGGACGAAAAAAGGCUUUUCUAAGUCGUCUGACGGUACCUUAUGAAUAAGCACCGGCUAACUCCGUGCCAGCAGCCGCGGUAAUACGGAGGGUGCAAGCGUUAUCCGGAUUCACUGGGUUUAAAGGGUGCGUAGGCGGGCAGGUAAGUCAGUGGUGAAAUCCUAGAGCUUAACUCUAGAACUGCCAUUGAUACUAUCUGUCUUGAAUAUUGUGGAGGUAAGCGGAAUAUGUCAUGUAGCGGUGAAAUGCUUAGAUAUGACAUAGAACACCUAUUGCGAAGGCAGCUUACUACGCAUAUAUUGACGCUGAGGCACGAAAGCGUGGGGAUCAAACAGGAUUAGAUACCCCGGUAGUCCAA
Molecule: ribosomal RNA, 799 nt
Filed under: uncultured bacterium
Lineage: Bacteria
Description: bacterial SSU rRNA
Rfam family: Bacterial small subunit ribosomal RNA
Source: RNAcentral